UGUGACUGUACUAUUUAGUGUCAUUGUUUUAUAGAUACCAUAGUGAGAAAGGAUUCAUUUCGCAACACCUACGGCUUCCACUAGAUGUCAACGAUCUUUAUAAAGUUGUUUGAAGCGUCUAUGAUAAACAGAGAGCAAAUUAGAAUCCAAGGAAGUUGACAUGUCAUCACUUCAUUUUUUUGCGCCUGCGCAUAAAUCUGAGAAACGUGAGUUUUGUCUUCAUUGUUUAUCUCGACAUAGGAUAGGUUGUGUGAAAAUAUUACUGAUGUUUAACGUUAAAAAUGGACCAAAAGAUUAAUGCUAAACAACAUUUGACAUGUUUGAACGAACAUAAAUAGAUUAUUUACUAGGUUUUUUUAGCUUUUCGGCGUGAUUUUACAGUCCCCCACCACGUUUUGUGGGAGCAUAAUGAACGCUAAGUACUUGGUGUUAUUUGGACAUAAAUUAUGAACUUUGUCAAAAGAAACCACAUUUGUUCCGGACCUGGGAUGCCUUCCGGACCUGGGAUGCCUGUCUUCUGAUGGAGAUAAUCAAAGUAUAACUACCAGUUGAAUGAAAAUAUAUUAUUAUGAGCUGAAGAUCUUGUAUGUCCUUGGGAACCAUUUGAUGACUAUGUACUCUACAGGACCUGAGCCCUAGGACCAUGCCUCAGGACUACCUGGUAUGACUCCUCCUUGCUGUCCCCAGUCCACCUGGCCGUGCUGCUGCUCCAGUUUCAACUGUUCUGCCUGCGGCUAUGGAACCCUGACCUGUUCACCGGACGUGCUUGUUGCACCCUCGACAACUACUAUGAUUAUUAUUAUUUGACCAUGCUGGUCAUUUAUGAACAUUUUAACAUUUUAACAUUUUGACCAUGUUCUGUUAUAAUAUCCACCCUGCACAGCCAGAAGAGGACUGGCCACCCCUCAUAGCCUGGUUCCUCUCUAGGUUUCUUCCUAGGUUUUUGGCCUUUCUAGGGAGUUUUUCCUAGGGAGUUUUUCCUAGCCACCGUGCUUCUUUCACAUGCUUUGCUUGCUGUUUGGGGUUUUAGGCUGGGUUUCUGUACAGCACUUUGAGAAUAUCAGCUGAUGUACGAAGGGCUAUAUAAAAAUAAAUUUGAAAUUUGAUUCAAUGCACCUUGGCAUAGAUUCUACAAGUGUCUGGAACUCUAUUGUCAGGAUGCAUUUGGUGUUUUGUUGAUGGUGGUGGAUAACGUUGUCUCAGGCGGUGCUCCAGAAUCUCCCAUCAGUGUUCAAUUGGGUUGAGAUUUAGUGACUGAGAGGGCCAUGGCAUAUGGUUUGCAUCGUUUUCAUGCUCAUAAAACCAUUCCGUGACCACUCAUGCCCUGUGAAUGGGGGCAUUGUCAUCUUUGGGGCAUCGCCAUGGUAACCAAAAUAAUGGCCUGCCCAGCAUUUUUAUAUCUGACCCUAAGCAUGAUGGGAUGUUAAUUGCUUAAUUAACUCAGGAACCACAGCUGUGUGGAAGCACCUGCUU
This 1473-nucleotide long non-coding RNA is filed under the name Salmo salar (Atlantic salmon). RNAcentral describes it as "lncRNA (ENSSSAG00000105983.1)". Lineage: Eukaryota; Metazoa; Chordata; Actinopteri; Salmoniformes; Salmonidae. The record is from RNAcentral.